This 195-nucleotide ribosomal RNA is filed under the name uncultured bacterium. Its description in RNAcentral is "partial 16S ribosomal RNA". It matches the Rfam family "Bacterial small subunit ribosomal RNA", at positions 338 to 525 of the family's 1533-position model. The record is from RNAcentral.
CCUACGGGAGGCAGCAGUGGGGAAUUUUGGACAAUGGGCGAAAGCCUGAUCCAGCAAUGCCGCGUGCAGGAUGAAGGCCUUCGGGUUGUAAACUGCUUUUGUACGGAACGAAAAGCUUCGGGUUAAUACCCUGGAGUCAUGACGGUACCGUAAGAAUAAGCACCGGCUAACUACGUGCCAGCAGCCGCGGUAAUA